Non-coding RNA from Pelodiscus sinensis (Chinese soft-shelled turtle), 1072 nucleotides. NCBI's taxonomy places the organism in Eukaryota, Metazoa, Chordata, Testudines, Trionychidae. The record is from RefSeq and is a predicted model, not a curated record.
GUCGAUGCACUACCCAGAAAUGGAAAUAUAUAGAACCACUUGAAAAAGAACUAUCAGUUGCUCUUCAUUGAUAGUGUUAUUUCAGUGCUCUCCAUAUUCAUGCAUGCAGGUAUUAAUUGUAACACAUGUUCAGUAACUUCAUAUGACCUUGCCAGUUUAGCUACGGUUACUUUUUAAAGUAAAUUGAAGUUAAAAUUCAAUCUAAGGAGAUUUUCCAAUGACUGAGCAGGAUUGUCAACUCUUAUGGGAUUGGGCAGCGAACAUCUUACUCAAUGUAUUUUCUCAUGUUGAGAAGAGCCUUCCUCUGGACUUAGUGCUGCUGCAGUCAGUGGGACUACUCAUGAUAUAUGGGACUGCUUAAUGUGCACAAAUAUAUGUAACAGAAAUUCUACUAUGUACACCAAGACUGCUGACAUUUCAUAGCGCUGCUUCAAAGUUCUGGUUAACAGCAAUAUCUACAACAAAGUUAAAAAGAACUGCCACAAAAACAUGUCCUUCUGACAACUGUUGGAUUUCCCUCUAAAAUUACUUUUAUUUGAGAUUUGGAUGACCAGUAGACCUGGAUCGGUGAAAGGUUUACGGUGCUUCCUGAUGUUUUGCGAGAUAUUGCAUCUCAGCACUGUUGCUUCAGACAGGUCUAGUGCUGAGCUCAGGCCCUGGUCUCUGGAUACUUCCUCCUGCAAGCAAGUGGGUAGGAAAUAACUUAAGACACAUGGGAGACAAAAGACUGCAUCCUUUCAAGGGUUGCAGAAAUUUACUCUUCCCACAGUUGAGGAUUCACCCUACAAAUGAGGCCAAGAUGGGACCGAUAACACUGACUGAUGAGGCACUGGACUGGGUCUCGCCGUUGGUCAAGCAAAACAUUCUAACACUGCCGGAUUAGAACACCUUCCUUUGGGCUUUUUCGUGCCCCUCCCCUCCGUCCCCCACUUACAUGGUUCUGCAGGGGAGCUGUCUGGCCCGGAGCAAGGAGGAAGGCAAGAUGGCCACUGGCUGCUGGCAGCCUGUUAGGAGAGGCAAAGCCUAGCCUCUCCUGUUCUUAAAGGGGCCAUCUUAUUUUUGCUUAAUAACU